ACACUCAGGGAUAUCCUUUCGAAAGAAAGAUUAAUACCUGAUAGUAUCUUAAGCACACAUGUAAUUAAGAUUAAAGAUUUAUCGGUGUACGAUGGGGAUGCGUUCCAUUAGGUAGUAGGCGGGGUAACGGCCCACCUAGCCGACGAUGGAUAGGGGUUCUGAGAGGAAGGUCCCCCACAUUGGAACUGAGACACGGUCCAAACUCCUACGGGAGGCAGCAGUGAGGAAUAUUGGUCAAUGGACGAGAGUCUGAACCAGCCAAGUAGCGUGAAGGAUGAAGGUCCUACGGAUUGUAAACUUCUUUUAUAAGGGAAUAAACCCUCCCACGUGUGGGAGCUUGUAUGUACCUUAUGAAUAAGCAUCGGCUAACUCCGUGCCAGCAGCCGCGGUAAUACGGAGGAUGCGAGCGUUAUCCGGAUUUAUUGGGUUUAGAGGGAGCGCAGACGGGUCGUUAAGUCAGCUGUGAAAGUUUGGGGCUCAACCUUAAAAUUGCAGUUGAUACUGGCGUCCUUGAGUGCGGUUGAGGUGUGCGGAAUUCGUGGUGUAGCGGUGAAAUGCUUAGAUAUCACGAAGAACUCCGAUUGCGAAGGCAGCACACUAAUCCGUAACUGACGUUCAUGCUCGAAAGUGAGGGUAUCAAACAGGAUUAGAUACCCUGGUAGUCCACACGGUAAACGAUGGAUACUCG
RNAcentral lists this ribosomal RNA (688 nucleotides) under uncultured organism. RNAcentral's name for it is "bacterial SSU rRNA". It matches the Rfam family "Bacterial small subunit ribosomal RNA", at positions 133 to 819 of the family's 1533-position model. The record is from RNAcentral.